Molecule: unclassified non-coding RNA, 359 nt
Filed under: Hevea brasiliensis (rubber tree)
Lineage: Eukaryota; Viridiplantae; Streptophyta; Magnoliopsida; Malpighiales; Euphorbiaceae
Source: RNAcentral
UAGCCAUUGGCUUUGUAAUUGCAGUGAUCUCUAGUUUCUGAGAUGUAAUUGUGGUACCAUUUUGAGUCUGAGUGGAGAAGAUACAUAUUAUAUGAGGACUAAUUUGAUGUUUAGCUUGAAUAGUGGUAUUUUGAGUACUUGCAGUAGCCCUCUUACUGAAGUUGUGACUAAAGUAGAUAUGAAUUCAUUGUCGCUCACUGAAAACUUCUUUUGUGGUUUGAAUAUCUUUUCAGUACAUCAAAGUUCAUAUAUGUUUAUAUUUUGAUUUUUGUUUGUUAGCUUAUGAUUUUUGUGUGGAAUAGUUUGAAAGGUUUUGAACCUAAUUAUUUGUUAAAAUUUCAGGCCAAAUUGAAUUAAAG